Molecule: transfer RNA, 74 nt
Filed under: Parcubacteria group bacterium
Lineage: Bacteria
Also listed under: 1 other name
Description: tRNA-His
Rfam family: tRNA
About the family: Transfer RNA (tRNA) molecules are approximately 80 nucleotides in length. Their secondary structure includes four short double-helical elements and three loops (D, anti-codon, and T loops).
Source: RNAcentral
GUGGCUAUGGUGUAGUGGUAGCACAAGACCCUGUGGAGGUCUCAGGGAGGGUUCAAAUCCCUCUAGCCACCCCA